RNAcentral lists this ribosomal RNA (433 nucleotides) under uncultured bacterium. RNAcentral describes it as "partial 16S ribosomal RNA". It matches the Rfam family "Bacterial small subunit ribosomal RNA", at positions 29 to 507 of the family's 1533-position model. The record is from RNAcentral.
AACGAACGCUGGCGGCAUGCCUAACACAUGCAAGUCGAACGAGACCUUCGGGUCUAGUGGCGCACGGGUGCGUAACGCGUGGGAACCUGCCCUUAGGUUCGGAAUAACUCCCCGAAAGGGGUGCUAAUACCGGAUAAUGUCUUCGGACCAAAGAUUUAUCGCCUUUGGAUGGGCCCGCGUUGGAUUAGCUAGUUGGUAGGGUAAAAGCCUACCAAGGCGACGAUCCAUAGCUGGUCUGAGAGGAUGAUCAGCCACACUGGGACUGAGACACGGCCCAGACUCCUACGGGAGGCAGCAGUGGGGAAUAUUGGACAAGGGGCGAAAGCCUGAUCCAGCAAUGCCGCGUGAGUGAUGAAGGCCUUAGGGUUGUAAAGCUCUUUUACCCGGGAUGAUAAUGACAGUACCGGGAGAAUAAGUCCCGGCUAACUCCGUG